Molecule: ribosomal RNA, 492 nt
Filed under: uncultured bacterium
Lineage: Bacteria
Description: partial 16S ribosomal RNA
Rfam family: Bacterial small subunit ribosomal RNA
Source: RNAcentral
AGUGAACGCUGGCGGUAGGCCUAACACAUGCAAGUCGAACGGCAGCACAGUAAGAGCUUGCUCUUACGGGUGGCGAGUGGCGGACGGGUGAGGAAUACAUCGGAAUCUACUUUUUCGUGGGGGAUAACGUAGGGAAACUUACUCUAAUACCGCAUACGACCUACGGGUGAAAGCAGGGGAUCUUCGGACCUUGCGCGAUUGAAUGAGCCGAUGUCGGAUUAGCUAGUUGGCGGGGUAAUGGCCCACCAAGGCGACGAUCCGUAGCUGGUCUGAGAGGAUGAUCAGCCACACUGGAACUGAGACACGGUCCAGACUACUACGGGAGGCAGCAGUGGGGAAUAUUGGACAAUGGGCGCAAGCCUGAUCCAGCCAUACCGCGUCGGUGAAGAAGGCCUUCGGGUUGUAAAGCCCUUUUGUUGGGAAAGAAAAGCAGCAGGUUAAUACCCCGCUGUUCUGACGGUACCCAAAGAAUAAGCACCGGCUAACUUCGUG